Molecule: non-coding RNA, 443 nt
Organism: Macaca mulatta (Rhesus monkey)
Lineage: Eukaryota; Metazoa; Chordata; Mammalia; Primates; Cercopithecidae
Source: RefSeq, a predicted model, not a curated record
GCUAUGACUACCAUUACUAGAUAACUAGCACUCCCCAACUGUUUAAAAAGCAAUAACGAUGCCUUUGUCUUCACAGCAAAACCCUAUAGACUGAAUCCUGACAUUGAGCCCAUCAGAGGUUGUUAAAUAAUAAAUCAUGGCGCUGCUUCUGUGAUCUAGCAACAGAGUGGAUAAGAGCAGGAAAUCUAGAGGCAGAUCCACUCCUGGAGGGCCUUGGAUGGGAUCCAGGACACACUCGUGUGAUGAGGACAUUCAAGAUGCUGGCCUGCCAAGCAGCGGUGUUUCCUCAUUGGUUCACUCCUUUCCUUAUCUUUUUCUACCUCUAGCUCCCACAAUGACAAAAAUCUACUCCCUGGCAGGCUAAGACAUGCUCUGAGAAUUCUGAUAUUUCUCUACCCCCUCUUUUAUUUCUACUUUCUGGAAAAUAAUAAAAUGGUCCUUAA